GAUGAACGCUGGCGGCGUGCCUAAUACAUGCAAGUCGAGCGAACAGACGAGGAGCUUGCUCCUCUGACGUUAGCGGCGGACGGGUGAGUAACACGUGGAUAACCUACCUAUAAGACUGGGAUAACUUCGGGAAACCGGAGCUAAUACCGGAUAAUAUAUUGAACCGCAUGGUUCAAUAGUGAAAGACGGUUUUGCUGUCACUUAUAGAUGGAUCCGCGCCGCAUUAGCUAGUUGGUAAGGUAAUGGCUUACCAAGGCGACGAUACGUAGCCGACCUGAGAGGGUGAUCGGCCACACUGGAACUGAGACACGGUCCAGACUCCUACGGGAGGCAGCAGUAGGGAAUCUUCCGCAAUGGGCGAAAGCCUGACGGAGCAACGCCGCGUGAGUGAUGAAGGUCUUCGGAUCGUAAAACUCUGUUAUUAGGGAAGAACAAAUGUGUAAGUAACUAUGCACGUCUUGACGGUACCUAAUCAGAAAGCCACGGCUAACUACGUG
This 497-nucleotide ribosomal RNA is filed under the name uncultured bacterium. RNAcentral describes it as "partial 16S ribosomal RNA". It matches the Rfam family "Bacterial small subunit ribosomal RNA", at positions 28 to 507 of the family's 1533-position model. The record is from RNAcentral.